CAUCAGCCACGGUAAUACGAAGGGUGCAAGCGUUACUCGGAAUUACUGGGCGUAAAGCGUGCGUAGGUGGUGGUUUAAGUCCGUUGUGAAAGCCCUGGGCUCAACCUGGGAAUUGCAGUGGAUACUGGGUCACUAGAGUGUGGUAGAGGAUAGUGGAAUUUCCGGUGUAGCAGUGAAAUGCGUAGAGAUCGGAAGGAACAUCUGUGGCGAAGGCGACUAUCUGGGCCAACACUGACACUGAGGCACGAAAGCGUGGGGGGCAAACAGGAUUAGAUACCCGAGUAGUCCCUGUCUCUUAUAC
This 301-nucleotide ribosomal RNA is filed under the name uncultured bacterium. RNAcentral describes it as "partial 16S ribosomal RNA". It matches the Rfam family "Bacterial small subunit ribosomal RNA", at positions 509 to 807 of the family's 1533-position model. The record is from RNAcentral.